UGGGGAAUUUUGGACAAUGGGCGAAAGCCUGAUCCAGCAAUGCCGCGUGUGUGAAGAAGGCCUUCGGGUUGUAAAGCACUUUUGUCCGGAAAGAAAUCCUUGGCUCUAAUACAGUCGGGGGAUGACGGUACCGGAAGAAUAAGCACCGGCUAACUACGUGCCAGCAGCCGCGGUAAUACGUAGGGUGCAAGCGUUAAUCGGAAUUACUGGGCGUAAAGCGUGCGCAGGCGGUUUGCUAAGACCGAUGUGAAAUCCCCGGGCUCAACCUGGGAACUGCAUUGGUGACUGGCAGGCUAGAGUAUGGCAGAGGGGGGUAGAAUUCCACGUGUAGCAGUGAAAUGCGUAGAGAUGUGGAGGAAUACCGAUGGCGAAGGCAGCCCCCUGGGCCAAUACUGACGCUCAUGCACGAAAGCGUGGGGAGCAAACAGGAUUUAGAUACCCUGGUAGUCCACGCCCUAAACGAUGUCAACUAGUUGUUGGGGAUUCAUUUCCUUAGUAACGUAGCUAACGCGUGAAGUUGACCGCCUGGGGAGUACGGUCGCAAGAUUAAAACUUAAAGGAAUUGACGGGGUCAUAGCUGUUUCCU
Molecule: ribosomal RNA, 586 nt
Filed under: uncultured bacterium
Lineage: Bacteria
Description: partial 16S ribosomal RNA
Rfam family: Bacterial small subunit ribosomal RNA
Source: RNAcentral